RNAcentral lists this unclassified non-coding RNA (380 nucleotides) under uncultured Alphaproteobacteria bacterium. RNAcentral's name for it is "contains 16S-23S intergenic spacer region". The record is from RNAcentral. Lineage: Bacteria; Pseudomonadati; Pseudomonadota; Alphaproteobacteria.
UCCGAGUUGACCCCGGCAGUCUCCUAUGAGUUCCCGCCAUAACGCGCUGGCAACAUAGAACGAGGGUUGCGCUCGUUGCGGGACUUAACCCAACAUCUCACGACACGAGCUGACGACAGCCUUGCAGCACCUGUUCUCAGACCCAUUGCUGGGAGGAAUCCAUCUCUGGAAGCCGCCCUGAGAAUGUCAAGAGCUGGUAAGGUUCUUCGCGUUGCGUCGAAUUAAACCACAUGCUCCACCGCUUGUGCGGGCCCCCGUCAAUUCCUUUGAGUUUUAACCUUGCGGCCGUACUCCCCAGGCGGGAUGCUUAAUGCGUUAGCUGCGCCACCAACAAGCAUGCUUGCUGACGGCUAGCAUCCAUCGUUUAAGGCGUGGACUAC